GGGUCCGCAGUUCACCCUGUCGUCGCCGAUGCGAUUCAUGCAUCACGCUAAACCUGCCU
Jannaschia sp. CCS1 is the source of this 59-nucleotide regulatory RNA element. It matches the Rfam family "COG3860 RNA". NCBI's taxonomy places the organism in Bacteria, Pseudomonadati, Pseudomonadota, Alphaproteobacteria, Rhodobacterales, Roseobacteraceae. The record is from Rfam.